This 1017-nucleotide ribosomal RNA is filed under the name uncultured organism. RNAcentral's name for it is "bacterial SSU rRNA". It matches the Rfam family "Bacterial small subunit ribosomal RNA", at positions 356 to 1376 of the family's 1533-position model. The record is from RNAcentral.
GAGGAAUAUUGGUCAAUGGACGAGAGUCUGAACCAGCCAAGUAGCGUGAAGGAUGACUGCCCUAUGGGUUGUAAACUUCUUUUAUACGGGAAUAAAGUGAGGCACGUGUGCCUUUUUGUAUGUACCGUAUGAAUAAGGAUCGGCUAACUCCGUGCCAGCAGCCGCGGUAAUACGGAGGAUCCGAGCGUUAUCCGGAUUUAUUGGGUUUAAAGGAAGCGUAGGCGGACGCUUAAGUCAGUUGUGAAAGUUUGCGGCUCAACCGUAAAAUUGCAGUUGAUACUGGGUGUCUUGAGUACAGUAGAGGCAGGCGGAAUUCGUGGUGUAGCGGUGAAAUGCUUAGAUAUCACGAAGAACUCCGAUUGCGAAGGCAGCUUGCUGGACUGUAACUGACGCUGAUGCUCGAAAGUGUGGGUAUCAAACAGGAUUAGAUACCCUGGUAGUCCACACAGUAAACGAUGAAUACUCGCUGUUUGCGAUAUACAGUAAGCGGCCAAGCGAAAGCGUUAAGUAUUCCACCUGGGGAGUACGCCGGCAACGGUGAAACUCAAAGGAAUUGACGGGGGCCCGCACAAGCGGAGGAACAUGUGGUUUAAUUCGAUGAUACGCGAGGAACCUUACCCGGGCUUGAAUUGCAACUGAAUGAUGUGGAGACAUGUCAGCCGCAAGGCAGUUGUGAAGGUGCUGCAUGGUUGUCGUCAGCUCGUGCCGUGAGGUGUCGGCUUAAGUGCCAUAACGAGCGCAACCCUUAUCGAUAGUUACCAUCAGGUUAUGCUGGGGACUCUGUCGAGACUGCCGUCGUAAGAUGUGAGGAAGGUGGGGAUGACGUCAAAUCAGCACGGCCCUUACGUCCGGGGCUACACACGUGUUACAAUGGGGGGUACAGAAGGCAGCUACACGGCGACGUGAUGCUAAUCCCGAAAGCCUCUCUCAGUUCGGAUUGGAGUCUGCAACCCGACUCCAUGAAGCUGGAUUCGCUAGUAAUCGCGCAUCAGCCACGGCGCGGUGAAUACGUUCCCG